UGGGGAAUAUUGCACAAUGGAGGGAACUCUGAUGCAGCGACGCCGCGUGAACGAAGAAGGCUUUCGAGUCGUAAAGUUCUUUUAUAUGGGAAGAUAAUGACGGUACCAUAAGAAAAAGCCCCGGCUAACUACGUGCCAGCAGCCGCGGUAAUACGUAGGGGGCUAGCGUUGUCCGGAAUCACUGGGCGUAAAGGGUUCGCAGGCGGAAAUGCAAGUCAGGUGUAAAAGGCAGUAGCUUAACUACUGUAAGCAUUUGAAACUGCAUAUCUUGAGAAGAGUAGAGGGAAGUGGAAUUUUUAGUGUAGCGGUGAAAUGCGUAGAUAUUAAAAAGAAUACCGGUGGCGAAGGCGGCUUACUGGGCUCAUUCUGACGCUGAGGAACGAAAGCGUGGGUAGCAAACAGG
Molecule: ribosomal RNA, 403 nt
Filed under: bacterium
Lineage: Bacteria
Description: partial 16S ribosomal RNA
Rfam family: Bacterial small subunit ribosomal RNA
Source: RNAcentral